CAACGCGUUGGGAGCUCUCCCAUAUGGUCGACCUGCAGGCGGCCGCGAAUUCACUAGUGAUUAGAGUUUGAUCAUGGGUCAGAUUGAACGCUGGCGGCAGGCCUAACACAUGCAAGUCGAGCGGGAGAGAGAAGCUUGCUUCUCUUGACAGCGGCGGACGGGUGAGUAAUGCCUAGGAAUCUGCCUGGUAGUGGGGGAUAACGUUCGGAAACGGACGCUAAUACCGCAUACGUCCUACGGGAGAAAGCAGGGGACCUUCGGGCCUUGCGCUAUCAGAUGAGCCUAGGUCGGAUUAGCUAGUUGGUGGGGUAAUGGCUCACCAAGGCGACGAUCCGUAACUGGUCUGAGAGGAUGAUCAGUCACACUGGAACUGAGACACGGUCCAGACUCCUACGGGAGGCAGCAGUGGGGAAUAUUGGACAAUGGGCGAAAGCCUGAUCCAGCCAUGCCGCGUGUGUGAAGAAGGUCUUCGGAUUGUAAAGCACUUUAAGUUGGGAGGAAGGGCAGUAAAUUAAUACUUUGCUGUUUUGACGUUACCGACAGAAUAAGCACCGGCUAACUCUGUGCCAGCAGCCGCGGUACACGAAUCGAAUUCCCGCGGCCGCCGUGGCGCCCGGGAGCAUGCGAC
Molecule: ribosomal RNA, 628 nt
Filed under: uncultured Gammaproteobacteria bacterium
Lineage: Bacteria; Pseudomonadati; Pseudomonadota; Gammaproteobacteria
Description: bacterial SSU rRNA
Rfam family: Bacterial small subunit ribosomal RNA
Source: RNAcentral